RNAcentral lists this transfer RNA (72 nucleotides) under Myroides odoratus. RNAcentral describes it as "tRNA-Trp(cca)". It matches the Rfam family "tRNA". Rfam says of the family: Transfer RNA (tRNA) molecules are approximately 80 nucleotides in length. Their secondary structure includes four short double-helical elements and three loops (D, anti-codon, and T loops). The record is from RNAcentral. Lineage: Bacteria; Pseudomonadati; Bacteroidota; Flavobacteriia; Flavobacteriales; Flavobacteriaceae.
GCGCAUGUGGUGUAGUGGUAGCACAACAGUCUCCAAAACUGUUUGCAGAGGUUCGAAUCCUUUCUUGCGUGC